Molecule: small nuclear RNA, 108 nt
Filed under: Dasypus novemcinctus (nine-banded armadillo)
Lineage: Eukaryota; Metazoa; Chordata; Mammalia; Cingulata; Dasypodidae
Source: RNAcentral
GUGCUCACUUUGGCAGCACAUAUACUAAAUUUGAAAUAGUACAGAUAAGAUUAGCAUGGUCCCAGAGCAAGUUUGACAGGCAAGUUGUGUGAAACAUUCCACAAUUUG